Molecule: ribosomal RNA, 110 nt
Filed under: Planococcus massiliensis
Lineage: Bacteria; Bacillati; Bacillota; Bacilli; Caryophanales; Caryophanaceae
Also listed under: 1 other name
Source: RNAcentral
AGUGAUGAUGGCAAAGAGGCCACACCCGUUCCCAUCCCGAACACGGAAGUUAAGCUCUUUUGCGCCGAUGGUAGUUGGGGGUCUCCCCCUGUGAGAGUAGGACGUCGCUG